AACCACGGCCAUGCCACCCUGCAGCCCAAAACCGCUAUACAGGGCUGAGCCUGGUCAGUACCUGGAUAGGAGACCACAUGGGAAGACUAGAUUGCUGUUGGGA
RNAcentral lists this ribosomal RNA (103 nucleotides) under Danio rerio (zebrafish). The record is from RNAcentral. Lineage: Eukaryota; Metazoa; Chordata; Actinopteri; Cypriniformes; Danionidae.